Molecule: ribosomal RNA, 495 nt
Filed under: uncultured bacterium
Lineage: Bacteria
Description: partial 16S ribosomal RNA
Rfam family: Bacterial small subunit ribosomal RNA
Source: RNAcentral
GACGAACGCUGGCGGCGUGCCUAAUACAUGCAAGUAGAACGCUGAAGGAGGAGCUUGCUUCUCUGGAGGAUUUGCGAACGGGUGAGUAACGCGUAGGUAACCUGCCUGUUAGCGGGGGAUAACUAUUGGAAACGCUAGCUAAUACCGCAUAAUAUUUGAUGUUGCAUGACAUUUGCUUAAAAGGUGCAAUUGCAUCACUACCAGUUGGACCUUCGUUGUAUUAGUUAGUUGGUGGGGUAACGGCUCCACAAGGCGACGACACAUAGCCGGCCUGGGAGGGUGAUCGGCCACACUGGGACCGGGGCACGGCCCAGACUCCUACGGGAGGCAGCAGUAGGGAAUCUUCGGCAAUGGACGGAAGUCUGACCGGGCAACGCCGCGUGAGUGAAGGAGGUUUUCGGAUCGUAAAGCUCUGUUGUAAGAGAAGAACGAGUGUGAGAGUGGAAAGUUCACGCUGUGACGGUAUCUUACCAGAAAGGGACGGCUAACUACGUG